AUUGAACGCUGGCGGCAUGCUUUACACAUGCAAGUCGAACGGCAGCACGGGGGGGUAACCCUCUGGUGGCGAGUGGCGAACGGGUGAGUAAUGCAUCGGAACGUACCGUGUAGAGGGGGAUAACUAUCCGAAAGGAUGGCUAAUACCGCAUGAGCCCUGAGGGGGAAAGCUGGGGACCGGAGACGGCCUGGCGCUAUACGAUCGGCCGAUGUCCGAUUAGCUAGUUGGUGAGGUAAAGGCUCACCAAGCCGACGAUCUGUAGCUGGUCUGAGAGGACGACCAGCCACACUGGGACUGAGACACGGCCCAGACUCCUACGGGAGGCAGCAGUGGGGAAUUUUGGACAAUGGGCGAAAGCCUGAUCCAGCCAUGCCGCGUGCAGGAUGAAGGCCUUCGGGUUGUAAACUGCUUUUGUACGGAACGAAAAGGUUUGGCCUAAUAAGCUGAGCUCAUGACGGUACCGUAAGAAUAAGCACCGGCUAACUACGUGCCAGCCGCCGCGGUAA
Molecule: ribosomal RNA, 506 nt
Filed under: uncultured bacterium
Lineage: Bacteria
Description: partial 16S ribosomal RNA
Rfam family: Bacterial small subunit ribosomal RNA
Source: RNAcentral